CCUACGGGUGGCUGCAGUCGGGAAUUUUGGGCAAUGGGGGAAACCCUGACCCAGCAACGCCGCGUGAGCGAUGAAGGCCUUCGGGUCGUAAAGCUCUGUCGGGAGGGAAGAAGGCUCUCGGAGUGAAUAAUUCCGGGGGAUUGACGGUACCUCUGGAGGAAGCGCCGGCUAACUCCGUGCCAGCAGCCGCGGUAAUACGGAGGGCGCAAGCGUUGUUCGGAAUCACUGGGCGUAAUGCGCGUGUAGGCGGGGAAGCCCGGGGCCCAACCCCGGAACUGCACUCGAAACUGCCUCGCUCGAGUCCCGGAGAGGAUGGUGGAAUUCCCGGUGUAGUGGUGAAAUACGUAGAUAUCGGGAGGAACACCAGCGGCGAAGGCGGCCAUCUGGACGGUGACUGACGCUGAGACGCGAAAGCGUGGGGAGCAAACAGGAUUAGAUACCCGGGUAGUC
RNAcentral lists this ribosomal RNA (450 nucleotides) under uncultured bacterium. RNAcentral describes it as "partial 16S ribosomal RNA". It matches the Rfam family "Bacterial small subunit ribosomal RNA", at positions 338 to 795 of the family's 1533-position model. The record is from RNAcentral.